GGGGGGGGGGGGGGGGGGGCGUGGCGGGGGCGGGGCGGGGGGCGGGGCCCUGCUUGUGGGGGGGUGUCGGGGGGCGAGCGGGUGAGGGGCACGGGGGGCACCUACCCGUGCCUGUGGUAUGACUUCCGGGAGCUUGGGCUCCUCCCGGCUACUGGCUCCUCGUCCAUGGUUGUGUUUGGAGAGUGUCGGCGGUUGGGGAUGGACUCGCGGCUUAUCAGCUGUUGGGUGGGGUAGUGGCUUACCACGGCUUUGAAGGGUAGCCGGCCUGAGAGGGUGACCGGCCACAUUGGGACUGAGAUACGGCCCAGACUCCUACGGGAGGCAGCAGUGGGGAAGAUUGCACAAUGGGCGGAAGCCUGAUGCAGCAACGCCGCGUGCGGGAUGACGGCCUUCGGGUUGUAAACCGCUUUCGCCUGUGACGAAGCGUGAGUGACGGUAAUGGGUAAAGAAGCACCGGCUAACUACGUG
RNAcentral lists this ribosomal RNA (468 nucleotides) under uncultured bacterium. Its description in RNAcentral is "partial 16S ribosomal RNA". It matches the Rfam family "Bacterial small subunit ribosomal RNA", at positions 38 to 507 of the family's 1533-position model. The record is from RNAcentral.